ACCCGCUGAACUUAAGCAUAUCAAUAAGCGGAGGAAAAGAAACUAACAAGGAUUCCCCUAGUAACUGCGAGUGAAGCGGGAAAAGCUCAAAUUUAAAAUCUGGCGGUUUCACCGUCCGAGUUGUAAUCUAGAGAAGUGUUUUCCGCGCUGGACCGUGUACAAGUCUCUUGGAAUAGAGCGUCAUAGAGGGUGAGAAUCCCGUCUUUGACACGGACUACCAGUGCUUUUGUGAUGCGCUCUCAACGAGUCGAGUUGUUUGGGAAUGCAGCUCAAAAUGGGUGGUAAAUUCCAUCUAAAGCUAAAUAUUGGGGAGAGACCGAUAGCGAACAAGUACCGUGAGGGAAAGAUGAAAAGAACUUUGGAAAGAGAGUUAAACAGUACGUGAAAUUGUUGAAAGGGAAACGCUUGAAGUCAGUCGCGUUCUUCGAGACUCAGCCUUGCUUCUGCUUGGUGUAUUUCUCGUUGAACGGGUCAACAUCAGUUUUGACCGUUGGAAAAAGAUUAGAGGAAUGUGGCUCUCUCGGGAGUGUUAUAGCCUCUGGUUGUAUACAACGGUUGGGACUGAGGAACUCAGCACGCCGCAAGGCCGGGGUUUUACCCACGUACGUGCUUAGGAUGUUGGCAUAAUGGCUUUAAUCGACCCGUCUUGAAACACGG
RNAcentral lists this ribosomal RNA (657 nucleotides) under uncultured fungus. RNAcentral describes it as "eukaryotic LSU rRNA". It matches the Rfam family "Eukaryotic large subunit ribosomal RNA", at positions 23 to 664 of the family's 3401-position model. The record is from RNAcentral. Lineage: Eukaryota; Fungi.